This 478-nucleotide ribosomal RNA is filed under the name uncultured bacterium. RNAcentral describes it as "bacterial SSU rRNA". It matches the Rfam family "Bacterial small subunit ribosomal RNA", at positions 26 to 518 of the family's 1533-position model. The record is from RNAcentral.
AGGACGAACGCUGGCGGCGUGCCUAACACAUGCAAGUCGAGCGAUGAAGUUCCUCGGAACGGAUUAGCGGCGGACGGGUGAGUAACACGUGGGUAACCUGCCUUGUAGAGGGGGAUAGCCUUCCGAAAGGAAGAUUAAUACCGCAUAACAUCUUUUUUAUCGCAUGGUAGAAAGAUCAAAGGAGCAAUCCGCUACAAGAUGGACCCGCGGCGCAUUAGCUAGUUGGUGAGGUAACGGCUCACCAAGGCGACGAUGCGUAGCCGACCUGAGAGGGUGAUCGGCCACAUUGGAACUGAGACACGGUCCAGACUCCUACGGGAGGCAGCAGUGGGGAAUAUUGCGCAAUGGGGGGAAAAACCCCUGACGCAGCAACGCCGCGUGAAUGAAGAAGGCCUUAGGGUUGUAAAGUUCUGUUUACGGGGACGAUAAUGACGGUACCCGUGGAGGAAGCCACGGCUAACUACGUGCCAGCAGCCGC